AGUAACACGUGAGGAACCUGCCUCGAAGACCGGGAUAACAGCGGGAAACCGCUGCUAAUACCGGAUAUCCCCACUGGGUCGCAUGGCCUGAUGAGGAAAGGAUUCUGCUUCGAGAGGGCCUCGCGGGCUAUCAGCUUGUUGGUGGGGUAACGGCCUACCAAGGCGACGACGGCUAGCUGGUCUGAGAGGACGACCAGCCACACUGGGACUGAGACACGGCCCAG
This 224-nucleotide ribosomal RNA is filed under the name uncultured bacterium. Its description in RNAcentral is "partial 16S ribosomal RNA". It matches the Rfam family "Bacterial small subunit ribosomal RNA", at positions 109 to 334 of the family's 1533-position model. The record is from RNAcentral.